Non-coding RNA from Plectropomus leopardus (leopard coralgrouper), 236 nucleotides. The record is from RefSeq and is a predicted model, not a curated record. Lineage: Eukaryota; Metazoa; Chordata; Actinopteri; Perciformes; Serranidae.
GCCAGUUUCAGUCUGUCCAGUCCAGAGAAAGACAACCCCGCCUGGUACCUGGGACAGCCUAUCUGGCACACAGCGAAGCAUCACGGGCUGAAGUCUGGGACUUUCUUCUGGCCAGGAUCAGACGUCAAAAUCAACGGGAGCUUUCCCGACAUCCACAAACCGUACAAUGGUAAAGUGCCGUUUGAGGAGAGAGUUUUCACCGUGCUGAAGUGGCUCCAGCUGCCAGACGAUGAAAG